Molecule: transfer RNA, 72 nt
Filed under: Camelus bactrianus (Bactrian camel)
Lineage: Eukaryota; Metazoa; Chordata; Mammalia; Artiodactyla; Camelidae
Also listed under: 2 other names
Rfam family: tRNA
About the family: Transfer RNA (tRNA) molecules are approximately 80 nucleotides in length.
Source: Rfam by way of RNAcentral
GAGGGUAUAGCUCAGUGGUAGAGCAAAUGCUUAGCAUGCAGGAGGUCCUGGGUUCAAUAGCCAGGACCUCCA